Molecule: ribosomal RNA, 440 nt
Filed under: uncultured bacterium
Lineage: Bacteria
Description: partial 16S ribosomal RNA
Rfam family: Bacterial small subunit ribosomal RNA
Source: RNAcentral
CCUACGGGGGGCUGCAGUGGGGAAUCUUGCGCAAUGGGCGAAAGCCUGACGCAGCCAUGCCGCGUGGAUGAUGAAGGUCUUAGGAUUGUAAAAUCCUUUCACCGGUGAAGAUAAUGACUGUAGCCGGAGAAGAAGCCCCGGCUAACUUCGUGCCAGCAGCCGCGGUAAUACGAAGGGGGCUAGCGUUGCUCGGAUUUACUGGGCGUAAAGGGCGCGUAGGCGGACACUUAAGUCAGGGGUGAAAUCCCGGGGCUCAACCUCGGAACUGCCUUUGAUACUGGGUGUCUUGAGUGUGAGAGAGGUGUGUGGAACUCCGAGUGUAGAGGUGAAAUUCGUAGAUAUUCGGAAGAACACCAGUGGCGAAGGCGACACACUGGCUCAUUACUGACGCUGAGGCGCGAAAGCGUGGGGAGCAAACAGGAUUAGAUACCCGUGUAGUC